UGGAAGGCGCUCAAGCAGGCUUUCCACUCGGAGCGGGAGAGGCGCCGCCGGGCAGAACUGUGCUCGGCUCUGCUGCCGCCACACUUCCGAGCCAUGAGGAGCAUCUGGAAGGCGGCGGGGCAGCCCGUGUCUGGCAAACGGAGGAUGCCAGUCGUGAGGAGGCUGUCGUCCAGAAGGCGAAGGUCAGCUCCUGCCCCACGCCCUCCAUCCUCACCAGAGCCACCAGAGCACGACGUUGGCAGGGACACCCCCAGCAUGCUGCCGUCACCGAUGCUGCAGCGUGCCAAUGACGAGCCAGAGAGCUUUCCUGGCUCUUCGCUGGCCCAGUAACAUCAUAAAGCUUCAGCAGCUGGUGGGAAACACGUUGCUGGAGCGCCACCCACAGCCCGUGCCAUGCCACACACCUGUUGCUGCGUCUCUUCCCUCUCCCUCCUGGGUGAGUACCAUGCCCCAGCUACCAUGCUUGUGUGCCCUGGUGCAAGAGGUGGCUGCAGCUCACAGGCUGGGUCUGCUCUCCUUCCAGGCUGUCACACUGACCUGAUGCAGAAAGGAGGUAAGGGAAAGGCCAGUAAGUGUCUCCAGCUUUGAGUGAAUCCUCAUGCUCCAGGACACUGCUCCAUCCUGUCCUGCCAGUGAGAAGGGCACGGGCUCCCAGAGGCAGUGCCUUCCCAGGGCUCUGUGUCAUAGUCAGGCUAAAUUUGGGUGUCUCCAUCACUCUUGCUGUUCGCUCCAUGCCAGGCUUUCAUGACAGGUUUUCCUGGUGAGACGUCCCUGGGGAUGGGAAGAGGAAACCAAGUGCUGCCACUGGCUGCUGCAGCCACAGGCUCCCACGAGACAGCAGCCACAAGUGAGCAGCCAGCAGCAGGUGAAGAUGCAUCAGACACAAGCCUGCAUGGUGGGUGCUCCCUGCAGCUCCACGACAGCCUCACAGGGAGCUCUCGGAGCCAUGGUGAGGUGCCACUGACCCCUCUCACACUGCAGAUCCUCGCGUGAAAGGCUUGGUCCUGAGUCUCCAGCGUCAAGUGGUGCAUGUCCUGCACACAUUCUGUCAGCAGCAGAAGGCAUAUCUGGAGAACGUCUUCCACAACCUCGGGCAGGUGAGUGAGACCCUGCACCAGCUCCUGCUCCAGCGACAGACCCAUCCUGUGGCUGGAUGUGUCUGUGGCCACUGUGUCCCCCAUGUGCUCCUUUCUAAGGGUGAGUCUGGAGUGCCCUGCUGCCCUGGUGCUCCUCACACUUCCUCGGAUCCCAAAGAGAACCCUCAGCUGUCCUCUGAUGGCAGGUGCGCCCCCGCCUGAGUGCCACCAUCGCUGGCCCUAGGAGCAACAGCUUUGCUACAGAGCCAUGGCACAUAUCUUUAUAUCAGAGGUUCCAGAUAUUUUUAGAGUUUAUACUAGAGAGAAGUUAAUAAAAUUAAAAAUAGCUUUUCUACCA
RNAcentral lists this long non-coding RNA (1434 nucleotides) under Zonotrichia albicollis (white-throated sparrow). Its description in RNAcentral is "lncRNA (ENSZALG00000009358.1)". Lineage: Eukaryota; Metazoa; Chordata; Aves; Passeriformes; Passerellidae. The record is from RNAcentral.